Molecule: long non-coding RNA, 403 nt
Filed under: Medicago truncatula (barrel medic)
Lineage: Eukaryota; Viridiplantae; Streptophyta; Magnoliopsida; Fabales; Fabaceae
Description: long non-coding RNA (MTRU_LNC008293)
Source: RNAcentral
AAUAACUUCCAACAUCAGUGUAAGUUGUUAUGCGAUAAAAGAAUGGUGGGGCUCAAUUACCACUAUGUUAUAUUUAAUUUUAUAUUGAAUCUUUAAUCAUUACUGAAGUGAAUUUCAUUAGGUUUUCAUAUAUAUUUUUUUGAGAGGUAGGUUUUUAUAUUAUGUUAAACUCACUUUUUACAAAACUUGGUUGUAUGGUGGAGAGUGACAUUUUUUAUAAAUACAUUUCAAGUCUUAUCUUUAUUUUACAUGAAAUUUGAAUUUUUCUUAAUACAUACUCUCACGUCCAACACUAUUAAAUUUGGUGGGUGGCCUGAAUUAAUAAACUCGGAUACCAUAUUAUAAUUUAGAUUGGGUCUAACUUAUUCUUAUAAAACUACUUGUAAGGUGAAGAGUGUUGGAU